RNAcentral lists this ribosomal RNA (254 nucleotides) under uncultured bacterium. RNAcentral describes it as "partial 16S ribosomal RNA". It matches the Rfam family "Bacterial small subunit ribosomal RNA", at positions 524 to 776 of the family's 1533-position model. The record is from RNAcentral.
UACGGGGGAUGCAAGCGUUAUCCGGAUUUAUUGGGUUUAAAGGGUGCGUAGGCUGUGAGGUAAGUCAGCGGUGAAAUGCCCCCGCUCAACGGGGUGAAGUGCCAUUGAUACUGCCUUGCUGGAAUGCGGAUGCCGUGGGAGGAAUGUGUGGUGUAGCGGUGAAAUGCAUAGAUAUCACACAGGACACCGAUUGCGAAGGCAUCUCACGAAUCCGCGAUUGACGCUGAUGCACGAAAGCGUGGGUAUCAAACAGG